CCUCUCAAUCGUCGCCAGUUCCUUGCUUCUCCAUCGGCGAAGGCCCGUCUGCCCUACAGUACGCCAGCGACCACACACCUGUCCGCCUCCGCGAUCCCGUACCUGCGCUAGAACGUCGCUGGAACGCAUCCUGCUCGAAGACAGGGUCACGCCACCGUUGUUUACCCGGUCACCGAUCUUCGUCUCAUCAUGUGAGUAUCCCACAGGUUCGGUGUUUUUAACUUGAUCAAUGUGGCUUCAACUGAUAGCAGAUUCGAUCCAUACGAAUUUCAACUUCAGUUCAUAAUAAGAUGAUUCGCCAAUUCCUCUCUUCUGAAUCAUUGAUUUAUUUAAUCGGUAAGAAUCUUUGGUGUUAUUUGCUGGAUCUGAAUCUUUCAUCUAUUACAGCUAAGUGAAUUAUUUAAUCAGGAAGAAACCUGGGUACUCUUCUCACUCUACUUUGCACAAUCCUUUUUUGGUUGAAUUGUCUGUUUCCUGUCCCUUUGAACUGCUUGUGGAUACUACCAUAUGGUGCGUUACUACAUGGUCUUUAUGUUCCUGUGAAAUGGCAAAUUGUAGUAAGUCACUCCAUUUUAUAUUUCUUUUGAUCGACUACCAAAACUCAGGCACCCAUUAUGUAUUUUCAAUAUCAUCCACGCACACAUAUUUGCGUAGUAGGUACUAGCACACCAUGGGAAUUUUAUUCAGAAUCAAAGGAAAAUCUUACUUGAACAUACAAGAUAGAGUUCGCAAUCUCACUUUUUACGUAGAUGAUACAGCCUUUCAAUUUGUUCGCAGUUAUUUCUUCUUUUUUUGUUAGGAAACUGCAAUGCCAGUUAGAAUGUUAUUGUCAAGUUGCAGUUCUCCAUGUUCAUAUUUAGGGCAUAUAGUAAGUUCUUGACCCAUCUCAAUUCCAAUAUAUGUUCAUGGUUUAUCUCAUUGUUGCACGCCAACCAGAUAUGUAUCUUUUCUUUGAAUUAGGACCAAAAAAGUUGUGGACUAUGCAGUCGAGCUUGUCAUGCUAUUGAACACAUAUCUGAUGAUUGGUUAGAUGCAGCAAAACCAGAUCAAAAGAAUGAUCUAAAACGGCUAUUGGCAGUGAAGUUCCAAUUGAGGAAAGAACACAGAUUGAACAUGAAAUAGAAAGUCGUCUUCUUUUAUACAGUGAGAAGGAUACCAGGGCAUAGAGCAAGAGAGACAGAGAGUUGGAGCGUACCACGGUUGGAUUUUUCUUGGUGUCGAGGAGGGCGCCGCUGAGGCCAUCGACGACACCAUGGGAGAACUCAGUAUGGAGAGCAACGCAGCCUCCCACAUUAACCACGAGAGGGGCUCCAUAUUUACCGAUGGCAACUAACCUGAAUCAGCCUCCGCUAAUGGGCUGUUAUCGUUCAUGACUCACUGUCGUUUUCGGUAGGGAAGGCCUUCCCGUCAACCUGUCUAAGGAGAUCCUGAAAGCUAUCUGCGUCCAGGCUCUCGGUCAGUUGAGAUGCCAGCUUCUCGGUUAGUUUAUUGGCAAGCAGAGUGAGAGACCCUGCUUUAGAGGGAAAGUGCAAGGCAUCUGGUGAAUAAGACUGAAAGUUUUGAGUAGGAAGCUGAUUCAUUAGCAUUUCUUAAAAGGAAAAAUAACUGAUCCAUAAGCAACGAUAACUGCUACUGCAUGAAUCAAAUCGCCUUCUCUGCUACGGCUACAACAUCAAUUUCAUUCACUGCUCGCAAUUAAUUUUUCCUUGUCAUCAGUGUUU
Molecule: long non-coding RNA, 1721 nt
Organism: Lolium rigidum
Lineage: Eukaryota; Viridiplantae; Streptophyta; Magnoliopsida; Poales; Poaceae
Exons: 5
Source: RefSeq, a predicted model, not a curated record